UUGAGUAAAAGUCGUAACAAGGUUUCCGUAGGUGAACCUGCGGAAGGAUCAUUAUUGAAUAAACUUGGUAGAGGUUGUUGCUGGUUCUUAGGAGCAAGUGCACGCCUUUCCAUCUUUACUUCUCCACCUGUGCACCUUUUGUAGUCUUUUGAAAUUAGAGAGCAGUUACUCGGGGGAACUCGGAUAGAGGAUCUGCUGUGCGCAAGCCAGCUUUCCUUGUAUUGUCUUUCAAUUUUUAAAGGUCUACGUUUUUCAUAUACCCCAAAUGUAUGUUAAGAAUGUAAUCAAUGGGCUUUAUUGCCUAUAAAACAAAUACAACUUUCAGCAACGGAUCUCUUGGCUCUCGCAUCGAUGAAGAACGCAGCGAAAUGCGAUAAGUAAUGUGAAUUGCAGAAUUCAGUGAAUCAUCGAAUCUUUGAACGCACCUUGCGCUCCUUGGUAUUCCGAGGAGCAUGCUUGUUUGAGUGUCAUUAAAUUCUCAACCCUUUCAAAGUUUUUAUCAACUUUGAAGUAGGGCUUGGAUUUGGGUGUUGCCGGCUUUUCAAUAGUCGGCUCUCCUUAAAAGCAUUAGCGGAACUUUUUGUAAGCCGUCUACAUAGUGUGAUAAUUAUCUACGCUAUUGAUGUUGCUUACGCUAAUAUAAUAAGAGUUCAGCUUCUAAUAGUCCAUCUACUUGGACAAUAUCAAUAUUCGUAUUGAUGACCAUUUGACCUCAAAUCAAGUAGGACUACCCGCUGAACUUAAGC
This 746-nucleotide ribosomal RNA is filed under the name Cystoderma amianthinum. RNAcentral's name for it is "eukaryotic LSU rRNA". The stretch from base 317 to 470 matches the Rfam family "5.8S ribosomal RNA". Lineage: Eukaryota; Fungi; Basidiomycota; Agaricomycetes; Agaricales; Squamanitaceae. The record is from RNAcentral.